GGUCAAGCUACAAAGGGCUCACGGCGGAUACCUUGGCACAUAGAGGCGAUGAAGGACGUGGUUACCUGCGAUAAGUCUCGGGGAGCUGGAAGCACGCUUUGAUCCGGGAAUUUCCGAAUGGGGCAACCCCUAGUACGGCCAGCUGAAUCCAUAGGCUGGUGCGAGCCAA
RNAcentral lists this ribosomal RNA (169 nucleotides) under uncultured cyanobacterium. Its description in RNAcentral is "partial 23S ribosomal RNA". It matches the Rfam family "Bacterial large subunit ribosomal RNA", at positions 1 to 183 of the family's 2925-position model. Lineage: Bacteria; Bacillati; Cyanobacteriota. The record is from RNAcentral.